CUACGGGGGGCAGCAGUGGGGAAUAUUGCACAAUGGGGGAAACCCUUAUUCAUCCACUCCGCGUGGAGGAUGACGCAUUUCGGUGUGUAAACUCCUUUUAUAUAGGAAGAUAAUGACGGUACUAUAUGAAUAAGCACCGGCUAACUCCGUGCCAGCAGCCGCGGUAAUACGGAGGGUGCAAGCGUUACUCGGAAUCACUGGGCGUAAAGCGCGCGCAGGCGGCCUUUUAAGUUGGAUGUGAAAGCCUAUGGCUUAACCAUAGAACUGCAUCCAAAACUAUCAGGCUAGAGUCUGGGAGGGGAAGAUGGAACUAGUUGUGUAGGGGUAAAAUCCGUAGAGAUAACUAGGAAUACCAAAAGCGAAGGCGAUCUUCUGGAACAGUACUGACGCUGAGGCGCGAAAGCGUGGGGAGCAAAUAGGAUUAGAUACCCUAGUAGUC
RNAcentral lists this ribosomal RNA (439 nucleotides) under uncultured bacterium. RNAcentral describes it as "partial 16S ribosomal RNA". It matches the Rfam family "Bacterial small subunit ribosomal RNA", at positions 339 to 795 of the family's 1533-position model. The record is from RNAcentral.